GACGAACGCUGGCGGCGUGCUUAACACAUGCAAGUCGAACGAAGUGGCGAACGGGUGAGUAACGCGUAAUCAACCUGCCCUUCAGCGGGGGACAACAGUUGUAAACGACUGCUAAUACCUCAUACUGAAGGAGGGGAUUGUGGCUGAUUAGCUCGGUGGAGGGGUAACGGCCCACCAAGGCGAUGAUCAGUAGCCGGGCUGAUAGGAUGAACGGCCACAUGGGGACUGGGACACGGCCCAGACUCCUACGGGAGGGAGCAGUGGGGAAUCUUCCGCAAUGGACGAAAGUCUGACGGAGCAACGCCGCGUGAGUGAUGACGGCCUUCGGGUUGUAAAGCUCUGUUAAUCGGGACGCGGUACCGGAAUAGAAAGCCACGGCUAACUACGUGCCAGCAGCCGCGGUAAUAC
Molecule: ribosomal RNA, 408 nt
Filed under: uncultured bacterium
Lineage: Bacteria
Description: partial 16S ribosomal RNA
Rfam family: Bacterial small subunit ribosomal RNA
Source: RNAcentral